CUACGGGUCGCUGCAGUAAGGAAUAUUGCGCAAUGGAGGCAACUCUGACGCAGCCAUGCCGCGUGCAGGAAGAAGGCCUUAUGGGUCGUAAACUGCUUUUAUUUAGGAAUAAACCCCCGAACGUGUUCGGGGCUGAAGGUACUAAACGAAUAAGCACCGGCUAACUCCGUGCCAGCAGCCGCGGUAAUACGGAGGGUGCAAGCGUUAUCAGGAUUUAUUGGGUUUAAAGGGUGCGCAGGCGGGCUAUUAAGUCAGUGGUGAAAUCCCGGGGCUCAACUCCGGAACUGCCAUUGAUACUGAUGGUCUUGAGUUUGGUUGAAGUGGGCGGAAUGUAGCAUGUAGCGGUGACAUGCAUAGAUAUGCUACAGAACACCAAUCGCGAAGGCAGCUCACUAAGCCAAAACUGACGCUCAUGCACGAAAGCGUGGGGAUCAAACAGGAUUAGAUACCCCAGUAGUC
This 459-nucleotide ribosomal RNA is filed under the name uncultured bacterium. RNAcentral describes it as "partial 16S ribosomal RNA". It matches the Rfam family "Bacterial small subunit ribosomal RNA", at positions 339 to 795 of the family's 1533-position model. The record is from RNAcentral.